UCCAGUAGUAGUCAGAUGUCCAGAAAGUCAUUUCUGUGAUAGUGUUACACUGGUGGAAGAGCAAUGUCUUAUUUACACAGUUACCUGCAUCACUGUUGUGGUGGCAGCUAGCACUGGUGCAUGCUUCCUUGAGACUGAGCUGUACAUU
Molecule: small nucleolar RNA, 148 nt
Filed under: Jaculus jaculus (lesser Egyptian jerboa)
Lineage: Eukaryota; Metazoa; Chordata; Mammalia; Rodentia; Dipodidae
Description: Small nucleolar RNA SNORA74 (ENSJJAG00000008033.1)
Source: RNAcentral